GGUUAAGCGACUAAGCGUACACGGUGGAUGCCCUGGCAGUCAGAGGCGAUGAAGGACGUGCUAAUCUGCGAUAAGCGUCGGUAAGGUGAUAUGAACCGUUAUAACCGGCGAUUUCCGAAUGGGGAAACCCAGUGUGAUUCGUCACACUAUCAUUAACUGAAUCCAUAGGUUAAUGAGGCGAACCGGGGGAACUGAAACAUCUAAGUACCCCGAGGAAAAGAAAUCAACCGAGAUUCCCCCAGUAGCGGCGAGCGAACGGGGAGCAGCCCAGAGCCUGAAUCAGUGUGUGUGUUAGUGGAAGCGUCUGGAAAGGCGCGCGAUACAGGGUGACAGCCCCGUACACAAAAAUGCACAUGCUGUGAGCUCGAUGAGUAGGGCGGGACACGUGGUAUCCUGUCUGAAUAUGGGGGGACCAUCCUCCAAGGCUAAAUACUCCUGACUGACCGAUAGUGAACCAGUACCGUGAGGGAAAGGCGAAAAGAACCCCGGCGAGGGGAGUGAAAAAGAACCUGAAACCGUGUACGUACAAGCAGUGGGAGCACGCUUAGGCGUGUGACUGCGUACCUUUUGUAUAAUGGGUCAGCGACUUAUAUUCUGUAGCAAGGUUAACCGAAUAGGGGAGCCGAAGGGAAACCGAGUCUUAACUGGGCGUUAAGUUGCAGGGUAUAGACCCGAAACCCGGUGAUCUAGCCAUGGGCAGGUUGAAGGUUGGGUAACACUAACUGGAGGACCGAACCGACUAAUGUUGAAAAAUUAGCGGAUGACUUGUGGCUGGGGGUGAAAGGCCAAUCAAACCGGGAGAUAGCUGGUUCUCCCCGAAAGCUAUUUAGGUAGCGCCUCGUGAAUUCAUCUCCGGGGGUAGAGCACUGUUUCGGCAAGGGGGUCAUCCCGACUUACCAACCCGAUGCAAACUGCGAAUACCGGAGAAUGUUAUCACGGGAGACACACGGCGGGUGCUAACGUCCGUCGUGAAGAGGGAAACAACCCAGACCGCCAGCUAAGGUCCCAAAGUCAUGGUUAAGUGGGAAACGAUGUGGGAAGGCCCAGACAGCCAGGAUGUUGGCUUAGAAGCAGCCAUCAUUUAAAGAAAGCGUAAUAGCUCACUGGUCGAGUCGGCCUGCGCGGAAGAUGUAACGGGGCUAAACCAUGCACCGAAGCUGCGGCAGCGACGCUUAUGCGUUGUUGGGUAGGGGAGCGUUCUGUAAGCCUGUGAAGGUGUGCUGUGAGGCAUGCUGGAGGUAUCAGAAGUGCGAAUGCUGACAUAAGUAACGAUAAAGCGGGUGAAAAGCCCGCUCGCCGGAAGACCAAGGGUUCCUGUCCAACGUUAAUCGGGGCAGGGUGAGUCGACCCCUAAGGCGAGGCCGAAAGGCGUAGUCGAUGGGAAACAGGUUAAUAUUCCUGUACUUGGUGUUACUGCGAAGGGGGGACGGAGAAGGCUAUGUUGGCCGGGCGACGGUUGUCCCGGUUUAAGCGUGUAGGCUGGUUUUCCAGGCAAAUCCGGAAAAUCAAGGCUGAGGCGUGAUGACGAGGCACUACGGUGCUGAAGCAACAAAUGCCCUGCUUCCAGGAAAAGCCUCUAAGCAUCAGGUAACAUCAAAUCGUACCCCAAACCGACACAGGUGGUCAGGUAGAGAAUACCAAGGCGCUUGAGAGAACUCGGGUGAAGGAACUAGGCAAAAUGGUGCCGUAACUUCGGGAGAAGGCACGCUGAUAUGUAGGUGAAGUCCCUUGCGGAUGGAGCUGAAAUCAGUCGAAGAUACCAGCUGGCUGCAACUGUUUAUUAAAAACACAGCACUGUGCAAACACGAAAGUGGACGUAUACGGUGUGACGCCUGCCCGGUGCCGGAAGGUUAAUUGAUGGGGUCAGCGCAAGCGAAGCUCUUGAUCGAAGCCCCGGUAAACGGCGGCCGUAACUAUAACGGUCCUAAGGUAGCGAAAUUCCUUGUCGGGUAAGUUCCGACCUGCACGAAUGGCGUAAUGAUGGCCAGGCUGUCUCCACCCGAGACUCAGUGAAAUUGAACUCGCUGUGAAGAUGCAGUGUACCCGCGGCAAGACGGAAAGACCCCGUGAACCUUUACUAUAGCUUGACACUGAACAUUGAGCCUUGAUGUGUAGGAUAGGUGGGAGGCUUGGAAGUGUGGACGCCAGUCUGCAUGGAGCCGACCUUGAAAUACCACCCUUUAAUGUUUGAUGUUCUAACGUUGACCCGUAAUCCGGGUUGCGGACAGUGUCUGGUGGGUAGUUUGACUGGGGCGGUCUCCUCCUAAAGAGUAACGGAGGAGCACGAAGGUUGGCUAAUCCUGGUCGGACAUCAGGAGGUUAGUGCAAUGGCAUAAGCCAGCUUGACUGCGAGCGUGACGGCGCGAGCAGGUGCGAAAGCAGGUCAUAGUGAUCCGGUGGUUCUGAAUGGAAGGGCCAUCGCUCAACGGAUAAAAGGUACUCCGGGGAUAACAGGCUGAUACCGCCCAAGAGUUCAUAUCGACGGCGGUGUUUGGCACCUCGAUGUCGGCUCAUCACAUCCUGGGGCUGAAGUAGGUCCCAAGGGUAUGGCUGUUCGCCAUUUAAAGUGGUACGCGAGCUGGGUUUAGAACGUCGUGAGACAGUUCGGUCCCUAUCUGCCGUGGGCGCUGGAGAACUGAGGGGGGCUGCUCCUAGUACGAGAGGACCGGAGUGGACGCAUCACUGGUGUUCGGGUUGUCAUGCCAAUGGCACUGCCCGGUAGCUAAAUGCGGAAGAGAUAAGUGCUGAAAGCAUCUAAGCACGAAACUUGCCCCGAGAUGAGUUCUCCCUGACUCCUUGAGAGUCCUGAAGGAACGUUGAAGACGACGACGUUGAUAGGCCGGGUGUGUAAGCGCAGCGAUGCGUUGAGCUAACCGGUACUAAUGAACCGUGAGGCUUAACCUU
RNAcentral lists this ribosomal RNA (2904 nucleotides) under Escherichia coli. RNAcentral's name for it is "23S ribosomal RNA". It matches the Rfam family "Bacterial large subunit ribosomal RNA". The record is from RNAcentral. Lineage: Bacteria; Pseudomonadati; Pseudomonadota; Gammaproteobacteria; Enterobacterales; Enterobacteriaceae. RNAcentral also lists the same sequence under 1 other name.